CCCGCUCUGUCUUGCAGAGUUAUUAAUGCAACAUCAAGUAAAAGUAAGACCUCAGAUUUCCUUCGUUACUGACGAUGACCUCUGUGUUCCCCUUGGCUUAAUCGUAACAUUCAAUAAUUCCAACACUCAGUGCAUUACUCGCUUUAAGCGAUUUUUCAUCGAAUAUAUAUAAGGGGCAUAAAAUGUCUAAGUCUACUGGCAUCGUAAAAUGGUUUAACGAAGAGAAAGGUUUCGGUUUCAUUUCUCAAGACAACGGCGGCGCAGACGUGUUCGUUCACUUCCGUGCAAUCGCUUCUGAAGGCUUCAAAACUCUGGCUGAAGGCCAAAAAGUUUCUUUCGACGUUGAGCAAGGCCAAAAAGGUCCUCAAGCAGCUAACGUAAUCAAGCUGUAAUUGUCGAUCAAAAAAAGCGCAGUGGAGUAAUCCGCUGCGCUUUUU
Molecule: small RNA, 437 nt
Filed under: Enterovibrio coralii
Lineage: Bacteria; Pseudomonadati; Pseudomonadota; Gammaproteobacteria; Vibrionales; Vibrionaceae
Description: cspA thermoregulator
Rfam family: cspA thermoregulator
Source: Rfam by way of RNAcentral